UCCGGUUUGUCACCGGCAGUCUGGUGUGAGUCCCCAACUUAAUGAUGGCAACACACCACGGGGGUUGCGCUCGUUGCGGGACUUAACCCAGCACCUCACGGCACGAGCUGACGACAGCCAUGCAUCACCUGUAUACGGCCCCGAAGGACACCAUAUCUCUAUGGCUUUUCCGUAUAUUUCAAGCCCUGGUAAGGUUCUUCGCGUUGCGUCGAAUUAAACCACAUGCUCCACCGCUUGUGCGGGCCCCCGUCAAUUCCUUUGAGUUUCAGCCUUGCGGCCGUACUCCCCAGGCGGGGCACUUCAUGCGUUAGCGCCGGCACCCAGGGGGUCGCUCCCCCAAGCACCUAGUGCCCAUCGUUUACGGCGUGGACUAC
RNAcentral lists this unclassified non-coding RNA (374 nucleotides) under uncultured bacterium. RNAcentral's name for it is "contains 16S-23S intergenic spacer region". The record is from RNAcentral.